ACGAACGCUGGCGGCGUGCUUAACACAUGCAAGUCGAACGGAAAGGCCCUGCUUUUGUGGGGUGCUCGAGUGGCGAACGGGUGGGUAACACGUGAGUAACCUGCCCUUGACUUUGGGAUAACUUCAGGAAACUGGGGCUAAUACCGGAUAGGAGCUCCUGCUGCAUGGUGGGGGUUGGAAAGUUUCGGCGGUUGGGGAUGGACUCGCGGCUUAUCAGCUUGUUGGUGGGGUAGUGGCUUACCAAGGCUUUGACGGGUAGCCGGCCUGAGAGGGUGACCGGCCACAUUGGGACUGAGAUACGGCCCAGACUCCUACGGGAGGCAGCAGUGGGGAAUAUUGCACAAUGGGCGGAAGCCUGAUGCAGCAACGCCGCGUGCGGGAUGACGGCCUUCGGGUUGUAAACCGCCUUCGCCUGUGACGAAGCGUGAGUGACGGUAAUGGGUAAAGAAGCACCGGCUAACUACGUG
RNAcentral lists this ribosomal RNA (467 nucleotides) under uncultured bacterium. Its description in RNAcentral is "partial 16S ribosomal RNA". It matches the Rfam family "Bacterial small subunit ribosomal RNA", at positions 29 to 507 of the family's 1533-position model. The record is from RNAcentral.